CACGUAGGCACCAAGCGUUAUCCGGAUUUAUUGGGCGUAAAGAGCUCGUAGGCGGUUCGGUAAGUCGGGUGUGAAAACUCUGGGCUCAACCCAGAGAGGCCACCCGAUACUGCUGUGACUAGAGUGCGGUAGGGGAGCGGGGAAUUCCUGGUGUAGCGGUGAAAUGCGCAGAUAUCAGGAGGAACACCAGCGGCGAAGGCGGCCAGCUGGGCCGUCCCUGACGCUGAGGCGCGAAGGCGUGGGGAGCGAACGGG
RNAcentral lists this ribosomal RNA (254 nucleotides) under uncultured bacterium. RNAcentral describes it as "partial 16S ribosomal RNA". It matches the Rfam family "Bacterial small subunit ribosomal RNA", at positions 524 to 776 of the family's 1533-position model. The record is from RNAcentral.